Molecule: ribosomal RNA, 379 nt
Filed under: uncultured Leptolyngbya sp.
Lineage: Bacteria; Bacillati; Cyanobacteriota; Cyanophyceae; Leptolyngbyales; Leptolyngbyaceae
Description: bacterial SSU rRNA
Rfam family: Bacterial small subunit ribosomal RNA
Source: RNAcentral
CGAAAGCCUGACGGAGCAAGACCGCGUGGGGGAUGAAGGCUCUUGGGUUGUAAACCUCUUUUCUCAGGGAAGAAGCACUGACGGUACCUGAGGAAUCAGCAUCGGCUAACUCCGUGCCAGCAGCCGCGGUAAUACGGAGGAUGCAAGCGUUAUCCGGAAUGAUUGGGCGUAAAGCGUCCGUAGGUAGCAGUGUGUGUCUAUUGUUAAAGAGUUUGGCUUAACCAAAUAAAGGCGGUAGAAACUACACAGCUAGAGUGCGUUCGGGGCAGAGGGAAUUCCUGGUGUAGCGGUGAAAUGCGUAGAGAUCAGGAAGAACACCGGUGGCGAAAGCGCUCUGCUGGGCCGUAACUGACACUCAUGGACGAAAGCUAGGGGAGCG